UGGGAAUAUUGGACAAUGGGCGAAAGCCUGAUCCAGCCAUGCCGCGUGUGUGAAGAAGGUCUUCGGAUUGUAAAGCACUUUAAGUUGGGAGGAAGGGUUGUAGAUUAAUACUCUGCAAUUUUGACGUUACCGACAGAAUAAGCACCGGCUAACUCUGUGCUAG
Molecule: ribosomal RNA, 163 nt
Filed under: uncultured bacterium
Lineage: Bacteria
Description: partial 16S rRNA
Rfam family: Bacterial small subunit ribosomal RNA
Source: RNAcentral